Molecule: ribosomal RNA, 770 nt
Filed under: uncultured Actinomycetes bacterium
Lineage: Bacteria; Bacillati; Actinomycetota; Actinomycetes
Description: bacterial SSU rRNA
Rfam family: Bacterial small subunit ribosomal RNA
Source: RNAcentral
UUCCCUUCGGGGAGCGAGUAGAGUGGCGCACGGGUGAGUAACACGUAGGUAAUCUACCUUUGGAUUGGGAAUAACAACCGGAAACGGUUGCUAAUACCGAAUAAUGCAGCGGCACCUGAUGGUGACAGUUGUUAAAGCGGGGGAUCGCAAGACCUCGCGUCUAAAGAGGAGCCUGCGGCGGAUUAGCUAGUUGGUAAGGUAAUGGCUUACCAAGGCUAUGAUCCGUAGCCGGCCUGAGAGGGCGGUCGGCCACUGACACUGACAUACGGGUCAGACUCCUACGGGAGGCAGCAGUCGGGAAUUUUGGGCAAUGGGCGAAAGCCUGACCCAGCAACGCCGCGUGAAGGAUGAAAUCCUUCGGGAUGUAAACUUCGCAAGAACGGGAAGAAUAAGUAAGAGCUAACAUCUCUUAUGAUGACGGUACUGUUUGUAAGCUCCGGCUAACUCCGUGCCAGCAGCCGCGGUAAUACGGGGGGAGCAAGCGUUGUUCGGAUUUACUGGGCGUAAAGGGCGCGUAGGCGGCCACCGCAAGUCGAUUGUGAAAUCUCCGGGCUUAACCCGGAAAGGUCAACCGAUACUGCGGGGCUAGAGUGCAGAAGGGGCAACUGGAAUUCUCGGUGUAGCGGUGAAAUGCGUAGAUAUCGAGAGGAACACCUGCGGCGAAGGCGGGUUGCUGGGCUGACACUGACGCUGAAGUGCGAAAGCUAGGGGAGCGAACGGGAUUAGAUACCCCGGUAGUCCUAGCCUUAAACGAUGAAUGCUUGGUGUCU